ACAAGUUGCUGAGAAACAAAAUGCAGAGGAGUAACUGGGCAUUUGCCUUCAGUCGUGGUGGUGAGUGGACUGGCGGUUAAGCAUGUUAUUUUCAUGAACGUAUUUUGGAUUUUCAUUAUCAUCUGUGAACAUACCAUCAGUUUGUAGCCAAGAGAGUGCGUAGGCAGAGCCCGCCUCGUCCAGCUUUGAUAUAGGAGAGAGCGUCGACGUUGUCCGCCUCAUCCAGAACAGGAGAGUGCGUAGGCAGAGCCCGCCUCGUCCAGCUUUGAUAUAGGAGAGAGCGUCGACGUUGUCCGCCUCAUCCAGAACAGGAGAGUGCGUAGGCAGAGCCCGCCUCGUCCAGCUUUGAUAUAGGAGAGAGCGUCGACGUUGUCCGCCUCAUCCAGAACAGGUGAGUCUACUGGCCCUUGUCUAUGCAGAAAUUUCUGAGCCAGCCUCUAGCUAGCAUGGAUCUCUUGAGGUCCGCGAUCGCAUAGGCUGUCUGGAGGUCUGCGGGUGGAUCGUCUGCCCAGUUGCACCUUGAAAAGUGUGUGUGGGGCAUGUGGUAGGGGUGUUCGCUUAAGGGGCGGACGGCUGGGUUUCUACCAAUUGCCAAUUGGCAGAAUUGAAGGGUGGACUUUGAAUACCAUUUUGAAGGCGGGAAAUGGCCUCUGUGCCCCAUUCAGAGAGGGCAGAGCCACGCAAAUGACUCUGCUUUGCUAGGCGAGACCUGUUGGGAGCAUUGGAAGAGCCAGGGCGCCUCUGCUCCAUGUCAGUCUUGUCUAGAAUCUUUUUCCGGGAAGCGAGGCAGUGGCGCUGAGGUAGGGGGAAACAGUAGCUGAGAGCACAGGGAGCGCUGGGCUGGUAUCAGCAAACCAGAAACUGGGUGGAUUUGGGCAGGAUUCCUCUGUCGAUUGGAAGGCCUGAAAGUAGGAGCAGGAGAAAUGGAUGGAAAGGAAAGGGAACCAACUGCACAGCAGCAGGUGUCCCAGAGAAACAAGAGCAUGACCUGGAGGAGCAGGUGUCAUGAAAGAGGCUCUCCAGGAGCAGGGCAGUGCUUGGCACAAAGGCAGGGGAAAGCAUUGUGUUUUCAGAGUCGAGUUAGAUCCCAUGUUGCCCGAGGCAAUUGAGCCAGGAGUUAGAGGCAGUGCCAGAUGAGAAAGGGCAGUCAUGAUAUUCAGAUAUAAGAGGCAACACUGUCCGGAAAAUCCCUAAGGGAUCCUUGAAAGCCAUGGGAUUGGGUUCUUGGCAUAGAGGAAAUAAAUAUGAAGGCGUGAAAUUGCAAACUCCUAGGGGCGCUAUGUGCAUGCUCAGAAGUCAGGGAAGAAUUGGUUCCAAGUUCUCUUAGCCAGUUCCCAGGCGAAUUGAUAAAGAGGAAAGAAGGAAAGAGUGAAUCCCUAAAUGAUGGGUCAGCUCCAAAGACAGAUUGUUUCCGACAAUGCCAAGUGCAUCCAUUCUAGCCGAGGAAUGAGCUUGGUCUUCCCUCCUGGUUCGAUGAAGGGAUUUCGGACCCUUUGGUCUGCAAAUGGGGAUAGAAUGGGAGAAAAUGAUUGUGAGGUGAGAAGAAAGGGAAGUUGAGCAGCAAGUGGGGAUAGUGGGACUUCCCUGUUCUCGUCGGGCAGUUCCCUCUGCUGUAGCCAUGAGAAAAAAAGGCAGGGAGGAAUGAUGAACUGUGGUUCACCCGCUGUACGUGGGGAAGCCCCAAACCUGAGAAAGUAUGCUUUGGGACAUGUGCAGACUGUUUCCAUCACCAUGCGGUGAUUGCGUAAGGACAGAAAAGAAAAGCUCACCCAUCUGAAGGAAGCGAUUUGCAACCUGUCUAAAUAAAGCAUCCCUUUGCGUGUCCUGCCCUUGGGCGUGGCAGAUGAGUCCCCGUGUGUGAUGGAGCAGGGAAUGAUGGUAGGCUUUAGGAAAUCCUCAGAAGAUGCAAGGAGAGUGGAGCCCCGGUAUCUCUUCCUACCUGCGGGGCUCUUGGAACGCUGUAACCCACAUCCAAUCGGCGCCUUGGACCUAGAGAGGCCCUCUUCAUGAGCUGGCCCGUCCUUGUUCAAGUAUUGCCUCCACCUAGUGAG
Molecule: long non-coding RNA, 2051 nt
Organism: Antechinus flavipes (yellow-footed antechinus)
Lineage: Eukaryota; Metazoa; Chordata; Mammalia; Dasyuromorphia; Dasyuridae
Exons: 7
Source: RefSeq, a predicted model, not a curated record